This 295-nucleotide long non-coding RNA is filed under the name Actinidia chinensis (golden kiwifruit). RNAcentral describes it as "long non-coding RNA (ACHI_LNC002443)". Lineage: Eukaryota; Viridiplantae; Streptophyta; Magnoliopsida; Ericales; Actinidiaceae. The record is from RNAcentral.
CGACGUUAGCUCUGAUGAGCUUAUUCACUUCGUCUUCAAUGACUUUUAGGCGUUCAAGGGCGAACUUCCUUCGCUUUUGGCGAACUGGAGAAUGUUUCGGGUUGGUGAACAGCUUAUGCAUGGCGAUUUCAGGAUCAAUGCCAGGAAUGUCUCUUUGUGACCAGGCGAAUACGUCAGAGUUAUCUUUCAAGAAGUUUAUUAAGGCAAAAUGAAACUCAUCGGUAAGUUCCGUGCCGAUCAUGAUAUGGCGAUUAGGAUAUUCUGGAUGUAUGGAGAUAGGGACGAUUUCUUCAAG